UACAGAGGUCCCAAGCGUUGUUCGGAUUCACUGGGCGUAAAGGGUGCGUAGGUGGUGAAGUAAGUCGGAUGUGAAAUCUCCGAGCUCAACUCGGAAAAUGCAUUGGAAACUACUUUGCUAGAGGAGUGGAGGGGGGACUGGAAUACUUGGUGUAGCAGUGAAAUGCGUAGAUAUCAAGUGGAACACCAGUGGCGAAGGCGAGUCCCUGGACAUCUCCUGACACUGAGGCACGAAAGCUAGGGGAGCAAACAGG
This 253-nucleotide ribosomal RNA is filed under the name uncultured bacterium. RNAcentral describes it as "partial 16S ribosomal RNA". It matches the Rfam family "Bacterial small subunit ribosomal RNA", at positions 524 to 776 of the family's 1533-position model. The record is from RNAcentral.